CGCGGAAUUUUAACCGUGCAAAGGUAGCAUAAUCAUUAGGUUUUUAAUUAGAAUCUUGUAUGAAUGGUUCGACAAAAGAAGUACUGUCUUUGUAUUAAAAUUUGAAUUUAACUUUUAAGUGAAAAGGCUUAAAUAUAUUAAAGGGACGAUAAGACCCUAUAAAACUUUACAUUGUAAUUUUAUUUAAUUAAAUUUAUAAAAUAAAAAUUUGAUUUAAUUAUAUGUUAUGUUGGGGAGACAGAAGUAAAAUAAAUUUUAACUGCUUUAUGUUAAAACAUAUAUUUAUGAAAUAUUAAAUGAUCCUUUAUAAAGAUUAAAAGAUUAAGUUACUUUAGGGAUAACAGCGUUAUUUUUUUUGAGAGUUCCUAUCGAAAAGAAAGUUUGCGACCUCGAUGUUGAAUUAAAAUAUCUUUAUAGUGCAGAAGCUAUAAAAGAAGGUCUGUUCGACCUUUAAAUUUUUACAUGAUUUGAGUUCA
This 476-nucleotide ribosomal RNA is filed under the name Potamon elbursi. Its description in RNAcentral is "partial large subunit ribosomal RNA". It matches the Rfam family "Bacterial large subunit ribosomal RNA", at positions 1932 to 2613 of the family's 2925-position model. Lineage: Eukaryota; Metazoa; Arthropoda; Malacostraca; Decapoda; Potamidae. The record is from RNAcentral.